GCAUGGAAAAUGUGGAGGUUUUUCCCACCCUGCGCCUUGAGUGAUUACAUCAAAGCUUAAAACGUGAAGUGUAGUUCUGUAUGAUAGCCACAUUAGCGGCUAAUUAGUAUUUAAUUUUUGGGGUGUAAUUACAGGCUCUCAAAGUGACCUUGUCCGAGAGAUUGGCGAGGUUAUCAAAAUGCCAAGGAAAUGGCUUCCUGAAAUCCCUCAAGCAGCUGAUUGGUCGACUCCAUGGCUAAUUGGAGAGCUGACCCCGCCCCCUCGUCAAGACGCAGCUGUCUCCAAUUACCCAUUCCUUCUGACGCUAUAUAAAAGCCAGUGUUCUGUUCAAGAGGGGAUCUCUUCUUUUUGGAGGUAGAGAUUUUGCUGGAGGUAGGGAUUGCUGAGAUUGAUUGUGAUAGAG
This is a long non-coding RNA of Oncorhynchus tshawytscha (Chinook salmon), 403 nucleotides long. Lineage: Eukaryota; Metazoa; Chordata; Actinopteri; Salmoniformes; Salmonidae. The record is from Ensembl.